AGAGUUUGAUCAUGGCUCAGAUUGAACGCUGGCGGCAUGCCUUACACAUGCAAGUCGAACGGCAGCACGGGGGCAACCCUGGUGGCGAGUGGCGAACGGGUGAGUAAUACAUCGGAACGUGUCCUGGAGUGGGGGGAUAGCCCGGCGAAAGCCGGAUUAAUACCGCAUACGCUCUACGGAGGAAAGGGGGGGAUCGCAAGACCUCUCGCUCAAGGGGCGGCCGAUGGCAGAUUAGCUAGUUGGUGGGGUAAAGGCCUACCAAGGCGACGAUCUGUAGCUGGUCUGAGAGGACGACCAGCCACACUGGGACUGAGACACGGCCCAGACUCCUACGGGAGGCAGCAGUGGGGAAUUUUGGACAAUGGGCGCAAGCCUGAUCCAGCAAUGCCGCGUGUGUGAAGAAGGCCUUCGGGUUGUAAAGCACUUUUGUCCGGAAAGAAAACUUCCUGGUUAAUACCUGGGGAGGAUGACGGUACCGGAAGAAUAAGCACCGGCUAACUACGUGCCAGCAGCCGCGGUAAUACGUAGGGUGCGAGCGUUAAUCGGAAUUACUGGGCGUAAAGCGUGCGCAGGCGGUCUGUUAAGACAGAUGUGAAAUCCCCGGGCUUAACCUGGGAACUGCAUUUGUGACUGGCAGGCUAGAGUAUGGCAGAGGGGGGUAGAAUUCCACGUGUAGCAGUGAAAUGCGUAGAGAUGUGGAGGAAUACCGAUGGCGAAGGCAGCCCCCUGGGCCAAUACUGACGCUCAUGCACGAAAGCGUGGGGAGCAAACAGGAUUAGAUACCCUAGUAGUCC
This 794-nucleotide ribosomal RNA is filed under the name uncultured bacterium. RNAcentral describes it as "bacterial SSU rRNA". It matches the Rfam family "Bacterial small subunit ribosomal RNA", at positions 8 to 796 of the family's 1533-position model. The record is from RNAcentral.